This 467-nucleotide ribosomal RNA is filed under the name uncultured bacterium. RNAcentral describes it as "partial 16S ribosomal RNA". It matches the Rfam family "Bacterial small subunit ribosomal RNA", at positions 28 to 507 of the family's 1533-position model. The record is from RNAcentral.
GACGAACGCUGGCGGCGUGCUUAACACAUGCAAGUCGAACGGAAAGGCCCUGCUUUUGUGGGGUGCUCGAGUGGCGAACGGGUGAGUAACACGUGAGUAACCUGCCCUUGACUUUGGGAUAACUUCAGGAAACUGGGGCUAAUACCGGAUAGGAGCUCCUGCUGCAUGGUGGGGGUUGGAAAGUUUCGGCGGUUGGGGAUGGACUCGCGGCUUAUCAGCUUGUUGGUGGGGUAGUGGCUUACCAAGGCUUUGACGGGUAGCCGGCCUGGGAGGGUGACCGGCCAAUGUGGGCUGGAGGUGCCGCCCAGACGCAUACGGGGGGCAGGGGGGGGGACUUUGGCAAGAGGGGCGGAAGGCGGAACGAGCGACCGCGGGUGGGGAAGAACGGCUUUCGGGAGGAAAACCGUUUUCGCUUGUACCGAGGGGUGAGGACGGGAAAUGGAAAAAGAAGCACGGCUAACUACCGG